RNAcentral lists this ribosomal RNA (628 nucleotides) under uncultured bacterium. RNAcentral's name for it is "bacterial SSU rRNA". It matches the Rfam family "Bacterial small subunit ribosomal RNA", at positions 56 to 711 of the family's 1533-position model. The record is from RNAcentral.
UGCAGUCGAACGAGGUAGCAAUACCUAGUGGCGCACGGGUGAGUAACGCGUGGAUAAUCUGCCCUUCACUGGGGAAUAACUAAUCGAAAGGUUAGCUAAUACCGCAUGAGGCCACAGUUUCUGAGGAAGCAGUGGUUAAAGAUUUAUUGGUGAAGGAUGAGUCUGCGUGGGAUUAGCUAGUUGGUGAGGUAAUGGCUCACCAAGGCUACGAUCUCUAACAGGUCUGAGAGGAUGACCUGUCACACUGGAACUGAGACACGGUCCAGACUCCUACGGGAGGCAGCAGUAGGGAAUAUUGCGCAAUGGACGAAAGUCUGACGCAGCGACGCCGCGUGAGUGAUGAAGGCCUUAGGGUCGUAAAGCUCUGUUGCAGGGGAAGAAAAAAAUGACGGUACCCUGCGAGAAAGGAUCGGCUAACUUCGUGCCAGCAGCCGCGGUAAGACGAGGGAUCCUAGCGUUGUUCGGAAUCAUUGGGCGUAAAGCGCAUGUAGGCUGCCAUUCAAGUCAGUUGUGAAAGCCCCGGGCUCAACCCGGGAAGUGCUUCUGAUACUGUUUGGCUUGAGUACUAGAGAGGAUAGUAGAAUUCCAGGUGUAGUGGUGAAAUACGUAGAUAUCUGGAGGAAUACCG